GCUCAGGACGUCACAGGAGUAUUUUUAUUAUUCAAAUCAUAUAAUGACAAAAUAAUAAUAAAUUGAUGAUGUAAGUCAACAUUCUUCCCCAAUGGACCGUUUAUCUUAUUGGUGGUCACGGGUGACCAUCGUGGCGCCUUGAUAACAGUUGAUAGCAACAUAUUAUAACAAGGCUUCGUUUAUUUCAACAAACCAUUCACAUUCGUUAUUUCGUCGUAAGCAAAACGUCCAGAAUAUAUUGUUGAAACGUGUAGAAGAUGUUAGUAAACAGUAUUUGCUCAUUCUAUAUAUAAUGAUAAGAUUACCCCUCAAUGAUAUGGAUGCAAACACAGUGCACAGUUAGAUGCAAGAUUUGUUCUCAUUUUUUUUAUUGAUGUUCUAAUAAAAAUGUUUAAUUGUUCAAUGGAAC
This 409-nucleotide unclassified non-coding RNA is filed under the name Bombus terrestris (buff-tailed bumblebee). Its description in RNAcentral is "misc RNA ENSBTSG00005025835.1". Lineage: Eukaryota; Metazoa; Arthropoda; Insecta; Hymenoptera; Apidae. The record is from RNAcentral.